Molecule: ribosomal RNA, 630 nt
Filed under: Trichoderma longibrachiatum
Lineage: Eukaryota; Fungi; Ascomycota; Sordariomycetes; Hypocreales; Hypocreaceae
Description: eukaryotic LSU rRNA
Rfam family: 5.8S ribosomal RNA (bases 280-433)
Source: RNAcentral
AGGUAGUAAAAGUCGUAACAAGGUCUCCGUUGGUGAACCAGCGGAGGGAUCAUUACCGAGUUUACAACUCCCAAACCCCAAUGUGAACGUUACCAAUCUGUUGCCUCGGCGGGAUUCUCUUGCCCCGGGCGCGUCGCAGCCCCGGAUCCCAUGGCGCCCGCCGGAGGACCAACUCCAAACUCUUUUUUUCUCUCCGUCGCGGCUCCCGUCGCGGCUCUGUUUUAUUUUUGCUCUGAGCCUUUCUCGGCGACCCUAGCGGGCGUCUCGAAAAUGAAUCAAAACUUUCAACAACGGAUCUCUUGGUUCUGGCAUCGAUGAAGAACGCAGCGAAAUGCGAUAAGUAAUGUGAAUUGCAGAAUUCAGUGAAUCAUCGAAUCUUUGAACGCACAUUGCGCCCGCCAGUAUUCUGGCGGGCAUGCCUGUCCGAGCGUCAUUUCAACCCUCGAACCCCUCCGGGGGGUCGGCGUUGGGGAUCGGCCCCUCACCGGGCCGCCCCCGAAAUACAGUGGCGGUCUCGCCGCAGCCUCUCCUGCGCAGUAGUUUGCACACUCGCACCGGGAGCGCGGCGCGGCCACAGCCGUAAAACACCCCAAACUUCUGAAAUGUUGACCUCGGAUCAGGUAGGAAUAC